CCGCGUCUCUCUCUCUCUCUCUCUCUCUCUCUCUCUCUCUCUCUCUCUCUUUUUCCUCUCUCUCUCUCUCUCUUCUCUCUCUCUCUCUCACUCACUCACUCUCUCUCUCCCUCUCCCUCUCCUCUCCUUCCUCCUCCGCCUCCUCAGCUCUUGGGCUAGAAUAUCUAUGGGUCGAAACGUGAUGCGAUGAAUUCGAGAGAGAGCGAAACUAGGACGAGGAGUGCGGCGGAAGCGGCGGGACUCCCGGGCAUGGGGGCUUCACCACAAUAGAGGCAGCGCCCCCACCCGCCCCCGCCAGCCCCUCCGGAGCGAAGCCCCCAAACCCCCUCGGGAAAAGGAUGGCGGCAGCACCUACCCAGAUCGAAGCCGAGCUGUAUUACCUGAUCGCUAGGUUCUUGCAGUCUGGACCCUGCAACAAAUCCGCUCAGGUGCUAGUGCAGGAGCUCGAGGAGCAUCAGCUGAUUCCGCGCCGCUUAGAUUGGGAGGGGAAAGAGCACCGAAGAAGCUUCGAGGAUCUGACUGUAAGAGUACACUAUGGAAUGGGUCUGCUUUUGCGGCUCUGCAUAGAGGCAGACCUCCAGAACUACCUGUAAAUUAUGUGAAACCUCCAAAUGUGGUUAAAAUGGCCAGUGGAUCUGCCUUUGCCUGAAAGAAAGACUUCAUUGCUCUUAAAAUUGGGCAGUCAUACAUAUGGUGGAUAGGUGUGAGGAGUGAAUAUCACCUCUGCCAGGCAAUUAACCGGCUGUAGUCGCUUUGGUCAUAUUUUCCCUUCAUCUGCUUACCAGCACAUUAAGAUGCAUAAGAGAAUUCUGGGGCACUUGUCAUCUGUCUACUGUGUAGCAUUUGACCGAAGCGGGAGAAGAAUUUUUACAGGUUCAGAUGACUGUUUAGUAAAAAUUUGGGCUACAGAUGAUGGACGCCUUCUUGCUACACUUCGUGGACACUCUGCUGAAAUUUCUGACAUGGCUGUUAACUAUGAAAACACUCUUAUUGCUGCAGGCAGCUGUGAUAAGGUAGUAAGAGUAUGGUGUCUUCGAACUUGUGCACCCGUUGCAGUCCUUCAGGGCCAUUCAGCUUCUAUUACUUCCAUACAGUUUUGUCCAUCAACUAAAGGCACAAACAGAUACCUCACUUCUACUGGUGCUGAUGGAACAAUCUGUUUCUGGCAAUGGCAUGUAAAAACAAUGAAGUUUAGAGAUCGCCCGGUGAAAUUUACUGAGAGAUCCAGACCUGGAGUCCAGAUAUCUUGUUCAUCUUUCAGUUCUGGUGGUAUGUUCAUUACAACUGGUAGUACUGACCAUGUGAUUAGAAUAUAUUAUUUGGGUUCUGAGGUUCCUGAGAAAAUUGCUGAAUUAGAGUCACAUACGGAUAAAGUUGUUGCUGUUCAGUUCUGUAACAAUGGAGACAG
Molecule: long non-coding RNA, 1408 nt
Filed under: Homo sapiens (human)
Lineage: Eukaryota; Metazoa; Chordata; Mammalia; Primates; Hominidae
Description: long non-coding RNA NONHSAT223445.1
Source: RNAcentral